AAUGGCUGCAGUAAUUUGACUGUACAAAGGUAGCAUAAUCAUUAGUUUUUUAAUUAAAAGCUUGUAUGAAAGGUUGGACGAAAUAAAUUCUGUCUCUUUUUAAUAAAAUUAGAAUUUAAUUUUUAAGUUAAAAAGCUUAAAUAUUUAUAAAAGACGAGAAGACCCUAUAGAGUUUUAUAAUUUAAAUUUAUUAAUUAAUUUAGAUUUAUUAAUUUUAUUUUUUUUUAAAUUAUUUUAUUGGGGUAAUAGAAAGAUUAAAAAAAUUCUUUUUUUAUAAAAUCAUUAAUUUAUGAAAAUUUUAUGAUCCAUUAGAUUUUGAAUAUAAGAUUAAAUUACCUUAGGGAUAACAGCGUAAUUUUUUUUAAGAGUUCAUAUCGAUAAAAAAGUUUGCGACCUCGAUGUUGGAUUAAAGAUUAAUUUAGGUGUAGAAGUUUAAAUUUUUGGUCUGUUCGACCAUUGAAUCUUUACAUGAUCUGAGUUCAAACCGGUGUAAGCCAGGUUGGUUUCUAUCUUUAUAAGAAUUUUAUAUUUCAGUACGAAAGGACCAAUUAUAUUAUAUAUUUAUAUUUAAAUUAUUGAAUAU
Molecule: ribosomal RNA, 583 nt
Filed under: Trechus cardioderus
Lineage: Eukaryota; Metazoa; Arthropoda; Insecta; Coleoptera; Carabidae
Description: partial 16S ribosomal RNA
Rfam family: Bacterial large subunit ribosomal RNA (bases 343-501)
Source: RNAcentral